UAUUAAUGCCCCCAACUAUCCCUAUUAAUCAUUACCCUAGUCCUCGCGCUGCCAAAACCAACUGAAAAUAGGAGGACAGGGUCCUAUUCCAUUAUCCCAUGCUAAUGUAUUCGGUGGCAGAAAAUUGGAUCUGCCUGCUUUGAACACUCUAAUUUUUUCACGGUAAACGAUCUGGG
This 176-nucleotide ribosomal RNA is filed under the name uncultured fungus. RNAcentral's name for it is "partial 18S ribosomal RNA". Lineage: Eukaryota; Fungi. The record is from RNAcentral.